RNAcentral lists this ribosomal RNA (530 nucleotides) under uncultured bacterium. RNAcentral describes it as "bacterial SSU rRNA". It matches the Rfam family "Bacterial small subunit ribosomal RNA", at positions 980 to 1509 of the family's 1533-position model. The record is from RNAcentral.
CUUGACAUCCAGAGAAUUUAGCAGAGAUGCUUUAGUGCCUUCGGGAACUCUGAGACAGGUGCUGCAUGGCUGUCGUCAGCUCGUGUUGUGAAAUGUUGGGUUAAGUCCGCAACGAGCGCAACCCUUUAUCCUUUGUUGCCAGCACGUAAUGGUGGGAACUCAAAGGAGACUGCCGGUGAUAAACCGGAGGAAGGUGGGGAUGACGUCAAGUCAUCAUGGCCCUUACGAGUAGGGCUACACACGUGCUACAAUGGCGUAUACAAAGAGAAGCGACCUCGCGAGAGCAAGCGGACCUCAUAAAGUGCGUCGUAGUCCGGAUUGGAGUCUGCAACUCGACUCCAUGAAGUCGGAAUCGCUAGUAAUCGUAAAUCAGAAUGUUACGGUGAAUACGUUCCCGGGCCUUGUACACACCGCCCGUCACACCAUGGGAGUGGGUUGCAAAAGAAGUAGAUAGCUUAACCUUCGGGAGGGCGUUUACCACUUUGUGAUUCAUGACUGGGGUGAAGUCGUAACAAGGUAGGCGUAGUGCU